RNAcentral lists this small RNA (315 nucleotides) under Pongo abelii (Sumatran orangutan). RNAcentral's name for it is "retained intron". Lineage: Eukaryota; Metazoa; Chordata; Mammalia; Primates; Hominidae. The record is from RNAcentral.
CAAAAACUACACACUAGUAAUCAUCUCUUUUAUAGUGACCAUAUAUUUCAGGCCCUGCUAUUAAAACAUUUUCCCUUCUAGGUCCUACAACGUGACUUUAAAAAGACAGCAGAAAGCAAAAAUGUCCCAUUGGAACAAGAAGCCACUAGUAAAAGAAGCAGAAUCUGGUAAUAUAAGUCAAAAGUCUGAUGAAGAAGAUUUUGUAAAAGUUGAAGAUUUACCACUGAAACUGACAAUAUAUUCAGAGGCAGAUCUAAGGAAGAAAAUGGUAGAAGAAGAACAGAAAAACCAUUUAUCUGGUGAAAUAUGUGAAAU